CAUCGUUCCGGUCGGUAGAUGUUUAUCAGGAGCUUGCAAAGUAAUCCUUUUUACCUCAGAAAUGGCGUAUUCAAUUCCCCCUUAAUUCAUCGUAGUGUAAUUGGCCCUGCUGUUUAGUCUUUACGAAAAAUUGCUAUCACGCGACUCUACUACAGUUGGCGCUUAAGAUUUCCAUCGAUUAUUAUCGCUUCGUUGGUCAAGUUAUUAUAAACCCCGGGCUUCUGCAAGAGUGCUUUUGGUACGAGUUUGUCUUUUUGAGUUCCUGUUGUGACGGUAAAGUUUCACGCAUGAUAAAGCUGCUCUCUUAAGAACAGGUCACAACUUGCUGGAGGAACCAGAAUUCAAGAAAAUGUCACGCAGACAAGGGGCAGAUUUGAGAACUUUCAGUGUUUGGCUGAUAUUUCUAGGUUUCCAAGAUUUCGACAAGAUAGAUGUUAGUCGCUUCUACUCCUUUCAUUUCUAAAUUAUCCAUCCUGGGAUAUUCUGCAUUCGUAAACCUACCAUUUGACUGUGUAUUGUAAUUUUUUUUAUUAACCAAGAUGUAUACAAGAUCAUUGUAAACUAAUAUUAAUUUAAUUUCUAAAUUUUACAUGCUGCCCGUUUCAUUAAAAUCCUGAUAUGUUUGUAAGUUAGGUUCCUGGGAUAUUCUGCGUUCGUAAACCUGCCAUUUGACCGUGUAUUGUAAUUUUUAUUUAAUAAAUAAUUGAUCUA
Molecule: long non-coding RNA, 711 nt
Organism: Macrobrachium nipponense
Lineage: Eukaryota; Metazoa; Arthropoda; Malacostraca; Decapoda; Palaemonidae
Exons: 3
Source: RefSeq, a predicted model, not a curated record